Molecule: small nuclear RNA, 104 nt
Organism: Eptesicus fuscus (big brown bat)
Lineage: Eukaryota; Metazoa; Chordata; Mammalia; Chiroptera; Vespertilionidae
Source: RefSeq, a predicted model, not a curated record
AUACUCACUUCAGCAGCACAUAUACUAAAAUUGGAAUGACACAAAGAUUAUCAUGGCCCCUGCUCAGGGAUGACACACAAAUUCGUGAAGCAUUCCAUAUUUUU